AUAGUCCAGGGAAUUGUUACAGCAUCACAUAUACAGUCGAUGAGUAAAUUAGAAUCUCCUUCCAUUAUAAUAUGGUCGAGCCCUUGAAGGUACGCUGUAUGCAAUCCUUCUGGCAAAGAUGUACGUUGAAUUGAGUUCGUGGACACGUGGCAAGCUGAAAUUGGAAUUCAUAUGAAUAAGUUAUGGUCUACGGAAGUUUAUUUCUACGUCGAAGUUUUCGGAAAUUUAUAAAGAGCAAAAUUGACUAUUCACAAUGUUUGGUAUUUAAGGAACAAAUCCCUAGCCACUCGCUCAUUCCUUUUCUCUCUCUCGGCCGCACGGGUCUUUCUCUUUCUUACCCUCCUCAUCUUUCUGCUCUCGCCAGAGAUCACCACUUCCGGCCACCAUUUCACAACGCCACCGCCACCAGUCAAAUCCAGACUGAAACCCGAUCACAACCCAAGUCCAUUACCGCCAUAAAUCGAUCCCAGCCUCCGUACGCACACCGCAAAGCUCCAGUGCCACUGCCCCUCACCUUUCUUCAAUUUCCGACUGUCUCCUCGCUUCACCACCAUCUUGGCUCAACUCAGCAAGCAAGGAGGAGCAAAACUGAGGAGCCCCGUCACUCACCACUGCUGGACGACAACACAUGAACCAUUGUCAAAGCUCUUGGCCUUGCACUUCACUGUUCUUCAACCUCCGGUGAAAAUCUAGUCACACCACCACCAUAACUAGAGUCAAAAUUGCACGAACUACUAGAGCCCCAAAGUCCUGACCUCCGAUUCUGACCAGAGUCUCCGCACGCGCCGCUCCUGGCGCGUGCACCACCGUGGCUCCACCGCAGGAUUUGCCUGCUACCUUACUAGGUAAAUGAUCGUCCAUUGUCUUAUGUUGGAGCUGUUUGUUGAUGUGGAAUGAAAACCCUAAUUUGAUAACUUGUUCUGGAUUGUGUGAGGUUUGUGAGAUUCGACGUUUUGGAGUCUUGGAGAAAGCGGGUCGAUCGGCGGGUUCAGUCUGUUUGAUAUUGAAGAAUGACUUUAUUGAAAUUGUCAAAAUGGUGAAAAAGAGUAGUUGUUCAAGGAUUACGAUUUCGUUGUUGUCCACUCUAAUUAUCGUUCCAAAUAUUAUGAUUGUAAGAAGCAUGUUUGUCAUUGACAAAGAAAGCGUAAAUCGGCCAAGUCCAUAUGAUUUUGGUAAUGGCAAGGAAUAAGUAUGAUUUGACUUAAUGUAAA
Molecule: long non-coding RNA, 1211 nt
Organism: Rosa rugosa (rugosa rose)
Lineage: Eukaryota; Viridiplantae; Streptophyta; Magnoliopsida; Rosales; Rosaceae
Exons: 2
Source: RefSeq, a predicted model, not a curated record